GAUGAACGCUGGCGGCGUGCCUAAUACAUGCAAGUCGAGCGAACGGACGAGAAGCUUGCUUCUCUGAUGUUAGCGGCGGACGGGUGAGUAACACGUGGAUAACCUACCUAUAAGACUAGGAUAACUUCGGGAAACCGUAGCUAAUACCGGAUAAUAUUUUGAACCGCAUGGUUCAAAGGUGAAAGACGGUCUUGCUGUCACUUAUAGAUGGAUCCGCGCUGCAUUAGCUAGUUGGUAAGGUAACGGCUUACCAAGGCAACGAUGCAUAGCCGACCUGAGAGGGUGAUCGGCCACACUGGAACUGAGACACGGUCCAGACUCCUACGGGAGGCAGCAGUAGGGAAUCUUCCGCAAUGGGCGAAAGCCUGACGGAGCAACGCCGCGUGAGUGAUGAAGGUCUUCGGAUCGUAAAACUCUGUUAUUAGGGAAGAACAUAUGUGUAAGUAACUGUGCACAUCUUGACGGUACCUAAUCAGAAAGCCACGGCUAACUACGUG
Molecule: ribosomal RNA, 497 nt
Filed under: uncultured bacterium
Lineage: Bacteria
Description: partial 16S ribosomal RNA
Rfam family: Bacterial small subunit ribosomal RNA
Source: RNAcentral